RNAcentral lists this ribosomal RNA (274 nucleotides) under uncultured bacterium. RNAcentral describes it as "partial 16S ribosomal RNA". It matches the Rfam family "Bacterial small subunit ribosomal RNA", at positions 523 to 796 of the family's 1533-position model. The record is from RNAcentral.
AUACGAAGGUCCCAAGCGUUAUUCGGAAUCACUGGGCGUAAAGAGUACGUAGGCGGUUUGGUAAGUCAGGUGUGAAAUCCCGGAGCUCAACUCCGGAACUGCAUCCGAUACUGCCAGACUUGAGUAAUGGAGAGGCAGGUGGAAUUCUCGGUGUAGCAGUGAAAUGCGUGGAUAUCGAGAGGAAGACCAAUGGCGAAGGCAGCCUGCUGGACAUUUACUGACGCUGAGGUACGAAGGCUAGGGGAGCGAAAGGGAUUAGAAACCCCAGUAGUCC